Long non-coding RNA from Bolinopsis microptera, 159 nucleotides. RefSeq lists it as uncharacterized. The transcript is spliced from 3 exons. The record is from RefSeq and is a predicted model, not a curated record. Lineage: Eukaryota; Metazoa; Ctenophora; Tentaculata; Lobata; Bolinopsidae.
CAUCAGAUGCGACAAACAGACUGGACUCGCAGUGUCCCGUGACUCUUAGUGGUGUCACGUGUUCCCACAGGAGGUGUCACCAUUUAGCCGUGAACCUCCCCCUUCUGACCGGAUACUCGUUUGAAAUCCUUCAUUUCCGUCUUAUCGCGAGGUUGCCCC